UGAUGAACCUAUCGUUAUGAAGAUGUAUUUAUCUGGCUGGAUUGACAAUCACAACCAACAGACUGACCAAUAGACCUGGUGAUUUGACACAGUUCUAUCUGUUGUAGCGUUACGAGUCUGCUGUGAAAAGGGCAAAUAAAAGUUGUUGUACAAUCAAGGAUUUGGAGCAAUACUGUAUUGACGAAUCAGUGGAAGGCACUAAAACCUUAGGGAUCUAUUGCAGUUACAAUCAAAUUGUCAUUCAUGGAGGAACAGCUCUUUGUUUUUAGUUUAAACAAGACGAUCAAUCAAUCGUCACUCAGUUCAAUGAAAUAGAUUUCACCUUCUACUCUCUCUCUCUCUUAACACAAUCUUAGCGUGAAUCAUUUUGGCAUCAACUCCCAAACACAGAUACAAUUGCCAUGUAUACAAACAUGAGUAAAUCCACAAUAGAUUUUUUUUUUAAAUUUUUUUUUUUACUGAGGGCUCAGCAGUAACAGUUCUAGUCUUUUACCUACGCUGUCCAUAUGCACCUAUGGCCUAGAAUCUGUGUUUGUAAUGGUGACCACAUUUUAGAUCAUGCUGCUUUUUUAAAAUAAACCCAACGACCACUGCUUUUUAGUUUUAUUUCAGAGUUCUUACUACAAGUUCUUAUUUGAGUACAUUUUAAAAGUGGUUUUAAAGAUGAUGAUGAUAUUAACAGAAGGCAGGAUUUUUUUUUUAAACUAAUGUAAAAAAAAAUAAUAAUAAUUAAAACAUUUUAAAUUGUGAUUUGAAUAUAUUUGAUGACACUGAUGGGGUUUCCUUUUUUAGUUUUAGUUUGAACAACUACUCCCUGAAGAACAUAUAUUUUUUUUAGUCACAUGCCCGCCAUACUGAGUGUUUUUAUUCUACUUUAACAAGAUGAAAAUAUGCAAAUUCCCAUUUAAGAACCACAAGCUUUGCAUGUGUUGCUCUACCCAAAAUAGAACCACAUGACGACAUCUGAUCGACAGGCUUGUUUCCCAAAUGGCACCCUAUUCCCUAAUCUAGUGCACUACUUUUGACCAGCUUUGAUCAGAAGUAGUGCAUUAUAUUAGGGAAUAGGAUGCCAUUUGGGUUUCAUCCAUGUUCUUUGAUGGUUAUCAGUGACAUCAUUGACCACAGACACUGUUCUGUUUUGACAGAACGUUGCCUGCAAACCACUGAAUGCUGAGCCAGUUGAAGUAUCUCUCUCUCUCUCUCUCGUUCUCUCUCUCUCUCUCUCUCUCUCUCGUUUUUUCUCGUUCUCUCUCUCUCUCUCUCGUUCAACUCCUCACUCAAUCACCAGCUACUCCCUGGACUUUCUAGAAUUGAUUUAUUUUCCUUUUUUUAAACUUAAAAAAAAAAAAAUGAUUUUUAGAAGUAAUUUAUUCUAAUUUAUUUUUUUUCACUCAGUGCUACUGUAUAGCUAUCGGGAUGUACACAGUUUCUUCUCCUAGUUGAUGGAACAGUCAGUCAGUAACACUACUGUGUGUUAGUGUCCUAAAUGGGACCCUAUUCCCUAUGUAGUGUGCUACUUUUGACCAGAAAAUAGUGUACCAUUGGGGACUCACACUGUGUGUUAGCUGGGCCCGUGGGUUGGGAGGACAGACGGACUAAUGUGUCUUAUACUAAGCUGUGUUAAUGGGUCUUUUGGGAAUCACACCAACCAAACCAGCAGACAAUCAAAUGUACUAAAUGUGCCUUGUGAGUAUGAGACCAGCCACAUCAACCAUCAUCCAUCACAACCAUCUGGUCAUGGUUAUCUACAGAAUGGGGGGUCACAGCUCUCCUUGUUCAGUCUGGUCAUGGUUAUCUACAGAAUGGGGGUCACAGCUCUCCUUGUUCAGUCUGGUCAUGGUUAUCUAUAGACUGGUGGUCACAGCUCUCCUAAACCAUGACCAGACUGAACAUCUAUAGAAUGGGGGUCACAGCUCUCCUAGUUCAGUCUGGUCAUGGUUAUAUAUAGAAUGGUGGUCACAGCUCUCCUAGUUUAGUCUGGUCAUCAGUCUAAAGGCUUAGCUGUGACACAUCUAUAGCACAAUAGCUGCCUGGUUGACCAUAAGUGUGUCCCAAAACUUCCCUAUGUAGUAAAGGAAUGCGUCCCAAAUGGCACCCUAUUCUCUAUUUAGUGCACUACAUUUGACCAGGGCCCAUAGGGAAUGUGGUGCCAUUUGACUAGGGCCCAUAGGGAAUAAGGUGCCAUUUAACCAGGGCGCAUAGGGAAUAGGGUGCCAUUUGACCAGGGCCCAGAGGGAAUAGGGUGCCAUUUGCCCAGGACCCAUAGGGAAUAGGGUGCCAUUUGACCAGGGCCCAUAGGGAAUAGGGUGCCAUUUUCCCAGGACCCAUAGGGGAUAGGGUGCUAUUUGACCAGGGCCCAUAGGGAAUAGGGUGCUAUUUGACCAGGGCCCAUAGGGAAUAAGGUGCCAUUUAACCAGCAUUUUGGACACAACCAUAUCAACCCUCUAGGGCAAAUGCCUAAUCUAUGACCUUUAAUCCUGACCCGUCUCAACCCUGACCCCUCUCAACACACACACACACACUCCCGGGCUCAUCGCCCCAAAACUCAAAUAUCCAAAUGACUGUUGACAAUCAACGUGCACUGGAAAGUCAUUUAUAUGCACCCACUCUUCAGACUCCUGUACUGAACCUCUCUAGAUCCAUAUUUAUAUGCACCCACUCUUCAGACUCCUGUACCGAACCUCUCUAGAUCCAUAUGUCUUUAAGAUCUGUUGUAUGCUGGCUCGGCCUAGCUCGACAAGACUAGCUUUUCCUGUGUCCCAAAUGGCACCUACUCAACAUUCUAGUGCACUACUAUUGACUGGGUCCCAUAGUGGUUCCCAGAGGGGUCCCAAAUGGCUCCCAUAGGGCUCUGGUCAAAAGUAGUGUACUAUAUUGAAAAUAGGGUGCCGUUUGUGACACGAACUAGUAGCGAUGUAGGAUGAGGGUACAAGGAGGAGUAAGCCACCAUGGCGUCCAGUAUUAUUUGUAGGUAGGAGGGGUUGUGUGGUCAUCCUAUGGGUUGGUGUUGACGUCAAAUCCAUAAGAACCAACCAUUGUCUCAACCCUUCGAGGUUAAAACUUAUACGAUAUGUUCAACCUUCAGUAUCUUGAAUAUUAAGUUAAAAUUAAAACAUUAGUUUUUUUGAAUUUCCCAAGAAAGAGUGAAUCUUAAUUAACUGUUAAGUGCUGUGAUUAUUUGUGUUUUAUAUCAACAAACAAAACAAUUCGCUGCAGCUAAUUCUUAACUUGCUAACUUUCUAAGCGAAAAAAAACUUUUUGUAUACUUUUGUAAAAAACAAAACAAAUGUAACAAUGAAGUCCGAAAACAUGAUUCUUUUUUUAAAGAUCGCUUUUUAAGUGUUGUGACAUGCUUUUUGGUUUUUACCAAUUUAAGUCCGCUGUGUCGUUCUCAGUUCAAGGGCUGUUUUUGAUAUUUGAUAAUUCUGUAUAUGGAGUAAAAAUGCAUGUCCCAGCAUUCCUGAAAUCUGUGUUUGAAUGUAAAUGAAUUGAGAGGAAAAAACACAAUCUCUCUUUUUAAAUACUACAUGAACUGAAACAUUGUGAACUUCCAUCUAACUCCUGCUCUGUUGAACUAGGACUCUCUUUAGCAAUGCCUUCAUAUCACAUCAUUCUAGAACACAUCAUUAGAGCUCUCAGAACCAUCUUCAAAUAUCACAUCAUUCUAGAACACAUCAUUAGAGCUCUCAGAACUGUCUCAAGGAUUCCACAUCGGUCGGGGCGGUGUGUUUUAUGAAGGAAGGCCCAGUCUAAAUGUAGCAGAACUGUCUGUCCAAAAUGGCACCCUAUACCCUAUGUAGUACACUACUUUUGACCAGAGCGCUAUGGGCCCUGGUCAAAAGUAGUACAUAACAUAGGGAGCCAUUUGGGAUGCAGGCAGUGUUAUGAGAUGCUUCUGAGAGCCCUGCAUGGUUUUAAAACAGCGUGAAACAAGGGGAAAGAGAGGGGGAACGAAGGAGAUAUUUGUUUGUCUAGUGCAAUAUGCUGUACAUAAAGAGCUUGGCUCUACAAAAUCCACAAAUCUUACAUUUUUCUCUAAUGAAAUGUAAUUUUCUUGUUCAAUGGGUACAUUGCUGUCUUUUUCAUUAAACUGUUCUGAAAGAUUCAAAA
Oncorhynchus tshawytscha (Chinook salmon) is the source of this 4110-nucleotide long non-coding RNA. The record is from Ensembl. Lineage: Eukaryota; Metazoa; Chordata; Actinopteri; Salmoniformes; Salmonidae.